UAGGCGUAAAUGAUGCGAGUUAAGUGUGGGGGCAUCUACGAGAUGGCCCUGUGCUGUAGGGUAGCCGUUAAACUCGCUGCCUGGGGAGUACGGUCGCAAGGCUGAAACUUAAAGGAAUUGGCGGGGGAGCACCACAAGAGGUGGAGGCUGCGGUUCAAUUGGACUCAACGCCGGAAAUCUCACCGGGAGCGACAGCAGUGUGAUAGCCAGAUUAAAGGUCUUGCUAGACGAGCUGAGAGGAGGUGCAUGGCGUAGUCGUGU
RNAcentral lists this ribosomal RNA (261 nucleotides) under uncultured archaeon. RNAcentral describes it as "partial 16S ribosomal RNA". It matches the Rfam family "Archaeal small subunit ribosomal RNA", at positions 748 to 1009 of the family's 1478-position model. The record is from RNAcentral.